GGCUUUCCCGAAGGAUAGCUUGACUUUAAUUUCAUGGAUCCAACAUUCGGAUCAAGAAUCCAAAUUCUAAAGAGCUCGUCUUGGAAGAAGGUGCAAAGCAAGUUGAAGCAGCUGAAAGUAUUAGAGAACGCGUUGAAGAAACUGAAUAUGUUAAAUAGGUUGAAGCAGCAAAGGAACAUGUUUGCUGCUUCAUUAGAGAUUAGUUAAAGAUGUUCGCAUUUGUGCAUGCUACAAUAAUAAUUGCUCUUUUGUUAAGAGUUGACAAUAGAAUGUUAAACAAUUUGGAUGUAUAUACAUUAUGGUUGUGGAAGCUAUGAAUUGUUUUAUGAAGAUUGUUAUUUUCUUG
Lycium ferocissimum is the source of this 346-nucleotide long non-coding RNA. RefSeq lists it as uncharacterized. Lineage: Eukaryota; Viridiplantae; Streptophyta; Magnoliopsida; Solanales; Solanaceae. The record is from RefSeq and is a predicted model, not a curated record. The transcript is spliced from 2 exons.